UAGAGUGGCGCACGGGUGAGUAACACGUAGGUAAUCUACCCUUUGGCGGGGGAUAACGUUCCGAAAGGAGCGCUAAUACCGCAUAAGACCACGGAGUCUCCGGACGCUGUGGGAAAAGGUGGCCUCUUCUUGAAAGCUACCACCGAAGGAUGAGCCUGCGUCCCAUCAGCUAGUUGGUAAGGUAAUGGCUUACCAAGGCGAAGACGGGUAGCUGGUUUGAGAGAAUGAUCAGCCACACUGGCACUGGAACACGGGCCAGACUCCUACGGGAGGCAGCAGUGAGGAAUAUUGGGCAAUGGGCGAAAGCCUGACCCAGCCACGCCGCGUGAGUGAUGAAGGCCCUCGGGUCGUAAAGCUCUGUGGAGAGGGACGAAAACCCUGGUUUCAAAUAGGCUCCAGGCUUGACGGUACCUCUUUAGCAAGCACCGGCUAACUCUGUG
This 440-nucleotide ribosomal RNA is filed under the name uncultured bacterium. RNAcentral's name for it is "bacterial SSU rRNA". It matches the Rfam family "Bacterial small subunit ribosomal RNA", at positions 91 to 507 of the family's 1533-position model. The record is from RNAcentral.